Molecule: long non-coding RNA, 6343 nt
Filed under: Homo sapiens (human)
Lineage: Eukaryota; Metazoa; Chordata; Mammalia; Primates; Hominidae
Description: HSALNT0036148
Source: RNAcentral
GGCACUUCCACCCCUGGGUAUUUGUACUGAUCAACCAGGUUACGCUUUCAGCAUUUGCAAACUCAGGAUGGAGAUUUUAGACCCUCUUCAACCUCCAGGUUUCCUCUUUGCAAAGGCCAGCAGCAGAAGCAAAAGAGAUGGAGCCCGGGUUAGCAUUUAUUUUUCUAUUUACCAGUCAUUUGGAAUUUGGACAUUUUCUGUCCUGUGGUUGUGGUGAGGGUGUGGGUUUUGUGUUGUUUUAUAUAUUCUUUGUUAUUUUUUAUUCUAGUUUUUGUUUUUGUUUUGGAAGGUAUUUUAGAGAAAUAAGAUUUCUGUGGUUACCAUGACCUGCUGUUACAGAUUACAUGGUACCCUCUCUUCAUAUGUUGAAGUCCUAGCCACCCCGCCGAACCUCAGAAUGUGACUGUAUUUGGAGAUAGGGUCUUUACAGAGGAAAUCAAGUUAAAAUGAAGUCAUUAGGGCAGGCCCUAAUCCGAUAUGAUCCUGUGUUCUUAGAAGAGGAAAUGUGGACUCAGGUGUGUAUGGAGGGAAGAUGUCUUGCAAGCCCAAGGAGAAGAUGGCCAUCUGAGCCCACGUCCUGGAACAGAGACUUCCCUCACAGCCUCAGAAAGAACCAGCCCUGCUGACGUCUUGAUCUCAGACCUCCAGCCUCCAGAACUGGGAGACGAUUCAGUCAGCAUCUACACAACACAGGGUUGAACUGUGCGGGUCCACUUCUAUGCAGAUUAUUUUCUUUUUUCUUUUUUGAGACAGAGUCUCGCCCGGUUGCUCAGGCUGAAGUGUAGUGGUGUGAUCUUGGCUUACUGCAGCUUCCACCUCCCAGGUGCAAGUGAUUCUCCUGCCUCAGCUUCCCAAGUAGCUGGGACUAUGGGUACUCGCCACCACACCUGGCUAAUUUUUGUAUUUUUAGUAGAGAUGGGGUUUCACCAUGUUGGUCAGGCUGGUCUUGAACUCCUGACCCCAAGUGAUCUGCCUGCCUUGGCCUCCCAGAUUGCUGGGAUUACAGGUGUGAGCCACCGUGCCCGGCCCUAUAUAACUCUUUGUGCAAGUUUUUACCCCUAAAAGAUAUCUGCCAUCUCAGCCAUGGAACAGACACUGUAAGAACAUGAAGGCUCAAGGGCAGGGCUGGCUACAUAAUUUGUGGGACCCAUUACAAAAUGAACAUGGAGAAAAAACUAGAAAAAAGUGUAGUACAAGGUACUAUAAUAGAUUUUUCCUUUGAAAACAGUUUAAUACUUAUAAAAUGUAAUAGAGGGAAAUAGUGACACGUGAGUAACAAAAUGGGCGUAUCAAUUGGUCUAUGCUAUUUUUGGUGUUAUAAUUUUACCUAAUAUAAUAAGCAGCAACACUUUGUUAGUGAGACGGGCUUUCACCAUGUUGGCCAGGCUGGUCUGGAACUCCUGACCUCAGGUGAUCCGCCUGCCUCAGCCUUCCAAAGUGCUGGGAUUACAGGUGUGAGCCUCUGCGCCCGGCUGUGAUGUCUUGAUUGAUCAUAGGAUUUUUCUGGCUAUUCUAGCUACUUCCAAUUCGCUUCAGCCAAUUUAGUUGAAGUUUUAUCACUUGUGACUUCAGAGUCCUGGUUAAUAUCCUGUUGCCCUCAGGACAUGCAGGAUGGAGGAAGGCACCAGGGAGCCGAGGGAAGUGAGCAGAGAGGCAGUCACUUCAGGGCCACCAGCAUAGCCCCCGUCACUGUCCACAGACACAGGCCCUUCCCCUUCUCAUGGUUGAGCAGGCUCCACCUCACUUCCGUGUAUGACUUCAUAGACCGUUAGGUUCCGUGGUACCCUGGAGUCCACAGCUGCUGAAUCUGAAGGGCCAUCAGAAGACUGGCUUCUCCAUGAUGGUUUAUGGACUAAGGCAAAGAUGAGCAGAGCCAUGGCCCUCUUCUUUGUUCUCUGCUGGAUCCAAGAGUCGGGGGUCUCCCUAUGUUUCCCAGGCUGGCCUCGAACUCCUGACCUCAAGUGAUCCUCCCACCUCAGCCUCCCCGAGUGCUGGGAUUAAAGACGUGAGCCACGGCACCUGGCCUGAAUUUUCCUCAAAUUCAAAAAAUCCUGAUGAAGGUUUGGCUAAAAUCUUUGGUGAGUUACCCCACUCCCUGUGGAACCUCAGGCUGGAUUUGAAGAGUUGCGUGCAUGGUCCUCAUUGUCUCCCAGGUAACCUGUUCCCGCUGCUGUGAAGGGAAGGCAGGUGCUCUUCCUUGAGGCUAGAAUCUGUCUACGUGUCACAGUCUCAGGAAAUUAAGCAAAACAGAUGAUAAACACCUCAAAAGGACCCUACUGAGCAUCAGUGGAGCAGAGCAGGGCCAUGUGGGACUGCGGCGUCAGAUGCCACCUCACACUAGCUGUGACACACCUGCCUCGCCAGUUUCUGCUCUGAGGCCCCAAAGCCGAGCUGAACCUCCUCCAGGGGUUCUCAGCCCUAACUGAGCAUGAAAACCCCUGGGGCAAUCCUCUUUUUAACAAUUGAGACAUUCCACACACACCCCACAUCAGAUUUUGGGGUGUGGGGAUAGACCUUCACAUUUGUAGUUUUCUAACCCUCCAGGGGACACUAGGCUGAGACUCAUUGGUCUCCACUCUGAACCUUCCACUGAACAUGUGAGAAAAACUAAGGCCCAGGGAAGUCUUUAGCAGAGAGCUGAGACGGAGAAAAGGGUUCUGAACCACAGCUGUCUGCUGAAGGAAGCUGUCCAAAGGCCAGUGAAGUCUCUCCUGAGGGUGCCUGGGCUGUGCAUCAGGAGUGAAGGUUGAGGGUCACCUUAGGUGUGAGAAGGAGCAACUGGGAGAGUGGCGCUGAUGCUUCCCCCCGGGUUAGGAGGCAUUUGGAUCACAGAGCGAUGCCUGUUCAUUCCUGCUUGCAAGGGAGCAGAUCUCUCGACACCCGAUGGGCCUCUAUUCCGUUCCGGCAGCUGUCCGUGUCAGGAGCGCUGGGCUUGCUCCUCCCCACGGGAGCCAUCACAGAGGCCUCGGGCAGUCUGCAUAGACAACUGCCUGGCAGGUGACCAGGAGGGGAUGCAUGAGCAGAUGCAGGUAGCACUCGCAGUCCCCCUAGCUGUGCCCUCAGCACCUGCUGUCUAGGAGGCAGAAGCCUUGUUCUCGGCCUUGCAGGUGACCCCAGUGUCUCUGAAUUCGGCCCCAUAUGUGUAGGAGGGGAGUGAUUGCAUCUGAAGAUGGGAGUCUGGUUGGGGGUUUGGGAAGCUCCCAUCACCCCUCAAGAGUCCACUGACCAGCCCAGCUCACACCAGGUGGGCCUUGGCACUGGAGGCCACGGCUCAACUCUGCAGUUCCCUCUGGGCAGCAUUUCCAGGGACUCGUAGGUCAGCAUGGUCAUCAAGGACAGGUGGUGAGAGCAGCUCCUCAUUGUCCUGGUGACCCCGAUGGUUCAUUUUCUGGUGUCUCUGUGGUGAGCUCCUGUUACAUCAAGCGAGUGGAAACCACCGAGGACCAACAGCCCUGGAAAUGCACUGAGAAUGCAGGAUGAGUGGGCUUUGUGAGGACUGUUUUCUGUGACUUAGCAAGGAAAGCCUGGAAGGGAAAGUAAAACUGCUUCUUCCCAGGGAAGCCAGAAACCUGAGAACUUAAAAGGGAAGGAGAACUUAAUAUAUUUCAAAAAUGUAACCCUUGUGAAUUAGCAACAGCUUUAUAAACAAAGAGAUUUCCGAGCUUAUAGAAUCUAUUCUGCUUUGUUUCUGCCCCCAUGGCUCCUACCCCUGUUUUUGUGGGUACAAUUUUCAUAUAGAACAUUUUUACACAAGCUUCAAAACUCUCUGAGGACAGCUUUCCCCUUUGUGUCUGUCGGGUCCCAGGCAGUCACAUCCCAGGAAGUGCUGGGGUUGGGCUCCUUGCUCCACAUCCUUCUUCAGUGGCACGAAGCGUGGGGUGGAGUGUGUGAGUCAUGUGUGAUCUUGGUGUGGGCUAUGGCUGGUCUGCAGCACCCCUUCAAUGACUGCUUCAAGGGCUUUUCAUGAUGCUUGUAGCUCAUGAGCUAGUGUUUCCUAGAUGCUGUUUCCAGGUGUCUUGCAUGUCACACACUGGCCUACCAGGGCUGGAGUGAGAUCAUGAGCGCCAGAUUGUUGGUGAAGGAAGUUGACAGAGACAUCGAAUGUCGGUGAACAGGAGUGACCUUGGGUCUCAAUAAAUACUGUGGUCAACUGAAUCCAGAACCCACCCUUACCAGCAGGGCCCACUUCUUCCCCAGCAGGCCGAGCUCUUCCCCUCCUGUCUUCCCUGGCCCUUGCUUUGUAGCUCUGUGUGGCUGUGUCAUGUCUGGUUGUAUCUGUAUAUACUUCUGCCUCUCCCGCUAUCUAGAUGGCUCGGGGAGGCACACCACACACCAGGUCACCUUCCUCUCUGAACCCCCAGCACCUCAUACUGUUUCUGUGCAGAGAUAAGGCUGGGUGAAAGCUUGUGUGAAUGAUCUGAAGUCUUCUACUCUAGGCCAGUCUCCAGGAGCAUUAUGAUCUUUAGGAGGGUGGGCUUGGUUCCUCUGUACAAUAAUGGGUCAUAAAACUGAGUGGUCAAGAUCAUCCCGGUGAGGGCAGUCCGUGUGUUGCCAUAGUUGCUGUACCGGUUAAGAAUGCACCUGGCUGCAAUUUCCUGAAAACCUGACGUAUAGUGGCUUAAACAAAGAGUGGUUUAUUUUCCUUCUGUCAUAGCAAUCUGGGGGAGGCCACUGUGGCUUUGGCGCAGGAGGUCGGGAAAGGCCCGCUUCUCUGAUAUCAUUGGGGGCCUCCCCAGUGCUUGUGUGGCAGAAUGACAAGAGGAAGAAGAAGGAGAAUUAUGGCACUGAGUAUCAUGAGAUUUGGGGUCAUAUAUCUUUAGUGGGCGGUGUUUGCUGCCCCAAAUGUCUCAUGCCAUUAAAAUGUUCUGGAAAUGAUUUAGGUAGUUGGAGUUUCCUUCCCAAAGACAAGGCAUUUACAGCAUGAUGUCCAAUAUCCAUUGAGUUUGUGUCAUGCAUUCAUUGUAUUCAUAGUCUGCUUUAGGUACUUAGCAAAAUAUUGCUGAUAUUAACAUGCCUUUGUUUGCUUCACUGGAGAUGAAAUUGUGCUCCAAGUGUUUUCCAAGGUUCCGUAUGACCCAUCAUUUGAUGAAACAAGAACAGCAGUCAGAUCCAUUACAAAGAGAGACACACAAAAAAACUAUGUGAAAAUGAGCUUAGCCCCUGGUGUUGUGUUGGAACUUCAGAUGCUUGCAGACACUUCAUGAAUGCUCUGUGACACUCAGAAUAGGCUAUUCCCAACAGAAGAGCUUGAACAAUGCUGCAUUUGCAUCAGGUUCAAAUGAGCGAGAGGAACAUUUGGCUAAAAUAUUUGGAACCAGCAUUGCUUGGAAUUCUCCUAAACCAGAAUAUUUCCUUGGCAGUGUGGACAAAAUUCCUGAUAAAGAGAUGGGGUUUCACUGUGUUAGCCAGGAUGGUCUCGAUCUCCUGACCUCAUGAUCCGCCCGCCUCGGCCUCCCAAAGUGCUGGGAUUACAGGCGUGAACCACCAUGCCCGGCCCAGAAUGUCCUUUCUUUUCGAAGCGGAGUAAUAUUCCAUUAUCACCUUUCAGAGGAGAAGAAUUUUAAAGAAUCCUGUCUGUUCGACAGGGAUUUAAGAGAGCAGUUAACUACUAUAGAUAAAGAAACACUUCAAGGAGCAGCUAAACCAGAUCUCCUCUGGCAAACACGACAUAUAAUAUUUUUAUAAUGGAUGGAAAGACAUGGUGGCACAAUUCUGAAGAAAAAAAUUUCACAAAACUUGCAAAAAAACAGAAACAGUUGAAGAGCAGCUCCUGUGUCUAAGCCAGGUCGUGGGGCCGUCAAACCAGGACUUGAAACCACAAUGCGAGGACAUUCUCCAUCUGCGCACCACAGGGAGGCAAUUCCAUUUCUGCCCGGGAGGUGUAUUCUACAAAAACGUCUGCUUCCCAUCCCAAUUUGAAUGGACCAAGAAAAACUGCUUUACCAUAGGACACUUGUGGCAAUAUGGCACCGAUGGCUGGCGUCGGUGAACCCGACAGACUAUGGAUUUAUCAUUUAAUAAAGCAUUGAUUCAUUUUUUCAGUCAUUCAUUGAACAGAUAUUAAUAGACCACCUCACAUGCUGACAAUAUCAAAAUACAAUGAGGAAACUAACAGUGACCCAGGCAUGCAUUCUUCCCCGAGCAAGAUCACAGUCCAUGGUGUGAGCACAACCAUACUAAAUAGCUUUUAUGGGAGGUGGGAGUACAGAAAGUAUUAUAUCUGCAAAGAAACUGCUAAGAAUUGUGGGAGCGCCCCAGGAGGUGAUUUCCUGCUUGCGUGACCAGCACAAAGAAAUGGGGUAAUUGAGAGUGUCAUGAAGUGGGGUUAUUUAUUUAUUGAGUC